GACGAACGCUGGCGGUGUGCUUAACACAUGCAAGUCGAACGGUAAGGCCCUUUCGGGGGUACACGAGUGGCGAACGGGUGAGUAACACGUGAGUAACCUGCCCUCAUCUCUGGGAUAACAGUCGGAAACGGUUGCUAAUACUGGAUAUGAGCUUGCAAGGCAUCUUGUGGGUUGGAAAGAUUUUUUUUGGUUGGGGAUGGACUCGCGGCCUAUCAGCUUGUUGGUGAGGUAGUGGCUCACCAAGGCUUCGACGGGUAGCCGGCCUGAGAGGGCGACCGGCCACAUUGGGACUGAGAUACGGCCCAAACUCCUACGGGAGGCAGCAGUGGGGAAUAUUGCACAAUGGACGGAAGUCUGAUGCAGCAACGCCGCGUGCGGGAUGACGGCCUUCGGGUUGUAAACCGCUUUCAAUUGUGACGAAGCUUUUUGUGACGGUAGCAGUAGAAGAAGCACCGGCUAACUACGUG
This 467-nucleotide ribosomal RNA is filed under the name uncultured bacterium. RNAcentral's name for it is "partial 16S ribosomal RNA". It matches the Rfam family "Bacterial small subunit ribosomal RNA", at positions 28 to 507 of the family's 1533-position model. The record is from RNAcentral.